This 63-nucleotide transfer RNA is filed under the name Hemisodorcus arrowi. RNAcentral describes it as "tRNA-Glu". It matches the Rfam family "tRNA". Rfam says of the family: Transfer RNA (tRNA) molecules are approximately 80 nucleotides in length. Lineage: Eukaryota; Metazoa; Arthropoda; Insecta; Coleoptera; Lucanidae. The record is from RNAcentral.
AUUUAUAUAGUUUAAAAAAAACAUUACACUUUCAUUGUAAAAUUAGAAUCACCCUUAUAAAUA